UCUCACAUAUUCAAUUACAAUUUUCGUAAAAUGGAUUCUAUCGCCUUGCUAGAUAGAUGCCCUGAAGACGAUGAAGUCAAUUAUAGUGAAAAUAGGAUAAGAAAAUUAAGUGCUAGUAGCGAUAGUGUUGUGGUUAAAGAAUGUUACCCUUGUUUGGCACAUUUUCAAUAUAUUUUAAGUGUUUUGGGUAUAUUUACUGUAGUGGUGAUUAUGAUGGUGUUUUUAUUUAAGAUGUUUACUCCAUCAGUUACUGAUUAACAGAACCUAUUGGCAUUAAUAAGGAAGCUUGGACCAAGACUUAAUAAGUUCAGAAAAUAUUUUAAGAAGCAAACAAGAAAAGGAGAAACAAAAUUUUCAUAUGGAACUAAAAAGGAAAUUAAAGGAAAAGGAAGAUGUGCAAAGGCUUAAUUCGAUUUUAACUACAACAACAAAUAAAUGGCCCAACUUCGACGAUGUUGAAGAAAACACUGUGCCGACCUACACGGAAGCUUUUAAAAAAGAUGAAAAAUUUAGUGAACGAUUUCAAUAUCAAAAAAAUUUUGCAUAUCAUAAGGUUACAGGCAAACCGGCGGCACAUCUAAAGAAAACCCCGACAGCUUACAUCGCAGUUUCUGCAAUAUCUGCGAAAUCAUCGGAGCCUAAAGAGGAUUUCCUAUUGGAAACAGAGUUGCAUCAGCUCAAGCCGUGGAAAAAUAAACUUUCGUCCCAAAAAGUCUAAGCGUAUACAGGUGAUUUCUUAGAAUAUUGUAGCUUAUAAAAUACAGAGGUUUGUUGUAAAUAUUAAAAUAGUUUUUCAUCUAUUACUUCACUACAGAGCGUUUCUGGAUAUCAUAUCAAUAUUGCUAAAAGCAAAUAAUUUUUUUUUAAGUUUGGGAAUAUUAUUUUUACUCGUAUGUUUAAUCAUUAAUCGUUUAACUUAAUGUUACAAUAAUAUUGUCUCUUAUUUAAAAUUCUAAUUUAAGAAAAUAUAGCUAAAAGUGUAUAUCACCGUUAAAUUUUUAGGAGGCCCUACUAGAGCUUCUUUAGUUUUAGGUCACACAUAUGUAUAAUUAUGUAAAAUAUUUAAGAAUGUAUAUUUUAUAAUACAUUUAGUAAUUAGUAAUUAAUAUCAAUUAAUAUCAUAAAACUAUAGAUUUUUCUAGAAUAAGAGUAUCUUAUAAUAUGUAAAUUUACUGUAAGUAAUGCGUUCAUUUUAUAGCAUUUCUAGGCAUGUAACUAUAAAAUAAGCAAGCUUGGCAUAUGCACAUUAUUGAUAAAUUAACACGUACAAACAGACUUAAAUUAUAUAUUAUUAUAAACUAGCUACAUUCCAAUAAAAACAUUUUAGUAUCAGUUUUGGGGGGUAUUUGAAUUUAAAGAUACGUUUUGCUAGAAGACAGCUGCCAGAAAUAAAGAAGAUAUCGUGAAUGUACGUGGACAACGCCGUCAAACAUGCUGGAAAGUAAAUAUUUCUGGGAAAUAGUUAUAUCAACAAGAUAAUAUGUACUUUUGCUAUACAUAUAGAGUCGGAAUACAUAAAAGUAGGUUUAAUAAAAUUUAUCUAGCAUGGAGACUCACUCUCCAGUUCAAAGAUUGCGGUUAACUUAAAAAAAAACCCUCAACUAAAGUCCUUCUCCUUAAAAUUUGAAGCAUGACAACUUGUAAAUUUCGGUAUUUUUUUAAAUUAAUUUCCUAUUAUUAUAAAUUAACCAUACCUCCAUGUAGUCACCGAUCGAGUUUAAAAAUCAUGGUAAUCAAAGGGUUUUAAAAGAGGAGGUUGUAAAGAAAAGUUGCUUAUUCAGUGAGCGAAGGAUGAUGUGUAAAUCAAUGUAAAUCCUUUUCUAUUGCUACAGUAAGGACUUUGUCUAGCCUGCAUUAUUCAAAUUAUAUUACUAGGAUGUAUAUUACAUUACUGAUUUUUAUCUAAGAAUAUAUUUUGAAGUUUACUGAAGAACAGCAUAAGAUUAAUUAAAACAGCAACUAUUUAUAGACUCAAUACAGUUCAUUAACUAAGCAAAGAUACGAGAAAGGUCUGAACAGUUUCCGACCUAAGGAAAAUUCAAAAAGUUUUUUCUUUAAAAUCAUUUCUCUAUAUAGUAUCAUUGUUAGUCUUUACACUUUUCCUGCUCCCAUCUCUUUAAGCCGUCCAUAUAGUGCUUCGUAAAAUAAUUGUUUAUAAGGUGGUUGCCUCCUCAUUUGGAAAAAAUCUCUUUUUUUGGAGCUAAAUCUAGUGAAUAAGGUGAAAAAAGAAGAAAUUCAAACCAUCAUUCAUAAAACAAAUAAGCUCAUUGUCUUCAUAAAACAGAUUUUUUUCCACAAAAAUGACAAUUUUUGGUUAAUUUCUGCUUUGAGCAGCUGUAGUGGUUUUUCUGGUUUAAAGAUCAUCGAUUAAUAUAACUACAUGACUAUCACAAAAAACAGUCGCCUCCACUUUCAACAAAUAGCAGCUCCUAGUUGGAAAAAGGGUUAGUUGGAACCAAUUCCUUCUUCACAAUCUGUGUUGACCGUAUUUUUGUUUUCGGUGUAUCCAAGUUUAGCAUACGAUUUUUAAUCAGCACCAAAACUCUGAUUUAUUACACCUAUACUGCUGCAACAGACCAACGAAAAUGUUGUUUUGAGGAGAUUUUUAGUCUAAUGUGAGCAAAUGCGGCACAAACACGUGGAUAGCAUCGUCAUGGUCCAUGUUCAUAACCUCUGCUAUUUCUCUCGCUUAAAAUCAACGUCAAUUUGGUGAAUUUUAUGAUUAUCGUCAGUGGCUGCACUAUCUGUGUUUUGAGCGUACAGCCAAGCUGGUACGGCUACGUUUAAAUUGAGUUGCCAAAAAUUUUACAUCUAGGAUCCAACUCAUUUUUCGUCGGCGUAAUCGUAUUUUUGUUCAAAGAAACAAAAUCAUAAAAGUACUCAAACCAUUGUUAAACAACAACUACUUUGAUUUUUUUUUAAGUUCCAUCAAAAGUUAUUGAGAUUCACUUCAACUUUACAAAUCAAUCAUCAACGGAUGUUAAUAGAGUAAUGCAGUAUACGAAAGCUAAUGUGGUCUACUUUUUUAAGAAAGUGGCAACAGCUACUUCCUUGUCCUUAAGCGACCAAUGCUGACAACUAGGUUAUCAAGGGCUAAAUCUGUUGACUUUCUUUGCAUUCAGAUCUCGCAAUAUAAGAGAGGUGCUCAUCAAUAAUCUGUUUUAUGUUUUUCAACAAAAAUGGUCUCGAUAAUUUUCACCCAUUAUUUGUAUGCCAGGCUGAUCCUAAUAGUUUUAUUAGACGAAGACAAAGGAUUUUUUUUCGUUAAGAAACCAUCCCAAUCCGUAAACCAUUAUGGGUCUAAGGUUGACCCUAUCUAGCCUUUCAUAAUAAUAAUAAUAAUAAUAAGCUUUAUUUUCAACAGGCUAGAAAUACCCAGUUACAGAAAAAUUAAUUAAAUAUAUAAAUGUACAAGUACGAAUGCAUGAACUAUAUUAGAUCCAUGCAACUAAACUAUACAAGAAUUGCUAAAUAAUAAAAUAAAAGGUGAGUUUGAGAAAAUAAAUAAUAAAAAAUCAACACUAAAUUAGAAUUAAGAAUUAAUUUAAAUCAAAAGAGCAGUAAAAAAUGAGUAAAUAAAUGUAUUCAAACUAAGUACUAAGUAACCUAGCCUCCCCCACCGACCAUACGCAGGUGACUCAAGUGCCAGAUUGUCAUGGUGAAUAUCACAAGAAUCGGCAAUAGUGUUAAAGUUUUGACACAUAAAGUGAAUAUGACUCUGGUUUAGAAUGUUGGACCUGGCUGUGUCAAAGUUAAAAGCUGAACAAAAACUAGAUCCUGGGCGUGGUAUAUGAAACCAAAUCCUUUGUAAAAGAGAUGGGCAGUCAAUUUUAUGGUUAAGUAAACUAAACAAGAGUUUCACCGAAUGCAUUUCACUUCUCUUCGCAAGUGACCGUUCAGUAUAUCUAGACAGCAGCAGGUUAUGGUCAAAACCCCUUGGAGGAUAGACUCCAUAAUCCUUAAAUGCCAAACAUUUAAGGAAUCGCCGUUGGACUGGUUCAAAUUGGUGAAUGUGCUGGUUGUAAAUGGGAGACUAAAUGAGGGAGCUGUAGUCCAGCCUGGAUCUAACAAAUGCAUAGUAGAGAGUUUUGGCAGUGGCAGUGUUCGAAAAAAGUAUGCAAAUUCUAAUAAUAAAGUCCAGCAUGCGAGUAGCUCUAGAUACAGUAUCUUCGAUGUGAGGAAUAAAAGAAAAUUCUUGGUCAAAGGUGACUCUAAGAUCCUUAAAGCAGGUAGGCAUUACUAGAAACUCUCCAUUGACUGAGUAAUUAAAGACAACUGAACUUUGGAUUCGAAAGUAGCUGGCCACAUUACACUUGGAAACAUUACAGUUAAGCCUGUUCAAAGUGCACCAAUGGUGUACAGUAUUGUUCUCUUGCAGUUGACCACAAUCUGCCAUAGAGUCAAUCCUAUGGAAAAGCUUUGAGUCAUCAGCAUAUGCUAACCGAGAGGGUGGAGAUCAAGUCAUUAGCGAAAACGUUAAAGAGAUGGGGGCCCAAGUUAGAGCCCUGAGGAACUGCAGAGAUGGGUGAAAAAUAAAACUAAAGAUUUCGAUCCCUGCAAACUGAGAGCGGUCAACUAAAUAGGAGUUAAGGAGCUUUAUCAAACGACCGGAGAAUCCAAACUGGCGUUCAAGCUUAUUUAAUAGGAUGAAGUGGUCAAUCUGGUUAAAAGCCUUUUGAAAGUUUGUGUAGAUAACAUCGAUUUGACCUCUAUCAUUAAGUGCUUCACACACAAACUCAGAGAAGAAUGCUAGGUUUGUAGUACAUGAUCCAUAGUCUCUCUAGUUUGUAGUACAUGGUCCAGUACAUCGACCAGAAACGAAGCCAUCUUGAUCGUUGGCCAGCAUGGACUUAACCUUGGAAAAAAUUAAUUUAUAAAGAGUCAACUCGAAUAACUUUGAGAAACUACAUAGAAUGGAUAUAGGGCGGUAAUUCUCUAUUGUUCCAGCAUCGCCCUUUUUAAGGAUAGGGCAAACUUUGGCUUGCUUCCAGAUAUUGGGAAAAAUACCUGUGAUCAUUUUUAGAUCUAAAGUAUGCUUUUUCUAUUUUUAUUGAUAAAAGUUCUAAAAACUCGAUGCCUGACUAUUUGAUGGACGUAUCCUACUCUAGUUGAAUAGUUGAGCGGGAACACACCGCUUUGGUUAAUUUUUGUACUACCCCAGGAUGUAUAGUGGGCAUUUGCAUGAACACAUAUAUUUGACACAUUGUAUCUUGUAUAGUAGGCUCUUCAUGUACGGGAUGCUGAGUAAAUUAAAUUUCUUUCCCAACUGCUCCUGGUACGAAUAUGUGAGCAGUUAUAUACUAUACCUGCAGUAGCCCUGCUGCAGUGGCCUGUAACAAGAAGGUGCUUAAUAUCUUUCCUGAUAAACAUGCUCUCCCUAGGGUUAGUACUAGAGAGAGGUUCAAUUAUCUUAGCAUAGAUCUGUUUAUUGUAUGAAAGGAAUGAUGUCUUGGCUUUCCUUCUCUCCAACUCCCGAGAGCAACGUUAACGCCAACUUUAACAGUUGGCGUUGCCCUUAUCUUUUUGUUCAUAUCGAGAAAAGAUAUCUGUGAAGCCUCCUUACCAGCGACAUGCAUCAAUGAAUCCAAAGUUAUUGAGAUGAACUGAUUAUUGAACUGAUAAUCAAAUCGUCGAAAUUCAAAUCUAACUAAUAUUUAAUUUUUUAUGAACACGCUUGUUGUAAUAUUUAUAUAGAAUUUGAGAAAAUAUUUUUUUUAGAUAAUUUAGUAAAAAUUAGGUUUUUUUUUUUAAUAUAUCUCAGAAACUAGGAGUGAAAAAUAGCUUAACUUAACUUUACUUAAAAGUAAUGUAUCCUUAAAAAAGAAAAUAACUAAAGUAAAAUCACUUUCGUUUCUUAGGGAUUCUUUAAGUAUCCAAAUUGCUCUGAAUUGCCAAAAUGGGCUAUUAUAUAUAAAAAACUUAUAUUUAAUAAUUUAUUAAGAAUUCCACUAAAAUCGUUUAACGGGUAAGCAAGACAUCUUAUUUUUUGUACAUUUUAAAUAUUAUUUUAUGAAGAAAGAAUUUAGCACUAAUUUGCUAGUCUACUGGUAUUUUCUUCGAAACUUUCAAGAACAUCAUAUAUAAAUGUAGCUACAUACUAUACUGUUUUUAGAACCUACCUACAUAUCUUAGCCGAACAAAAAUAGGUAGAUUUUUAUUCAUUUUAUUAAUAUGCUGUUAAUGAUGCAAGUAAAAUUUGUCAAAUAUGUAAACUUCCCUAGCAUUUAGUCUAAGUAAUUAACAAUGUAAAAUUGUAAACAGAUAGAAUAGAAAAAAAUAUUGUAGACGUAUAACGUAAAAGAACUGGAAUAUUUUUUUUGUAU
This 6323-nucleotide unclassified non-coding RNA is filed under the name Anthonomus grandis grandis. RNAcentral describes it as "uncharacterized LOC126735066". The record is from RNAcentral. Lineage: Eukaryota; Metazoa; Arthropoda; Insecta; Coleoptera; Curculionidae.